GACGAACGCUGGCGGCGUGCUUAACACAUGCAAGUCGAACGAUGAAGCCGGAGCUUGCUCUGGUGAAUUAGUGGCGAACGGGUGAGUAACACGUGAGUAACCUGCCCUUUACUCUGGGAUAACUGCUAGAAACGGUAGCUAAUACCGGAUACGACCCUCGGAGGCAUCUCCAGGGGGUGGAAAGAAUUUCGGUCAAGGAUGGACUCGCGGCCUAUCAGCUAGUUGGUGGGGUAACGGCUCACCAAGGCGACGACGGGUAGCCGGCCUGAGAGGGUGACCGACCACACUGGGACUGAGACACGGCCCAGACUCCUACGGGAGGCAGCAGUGGGGAAUAUUGCACAAUGGGCGCAAGCCUGAUGCAGCAACGCCGCGUGAGGGAUGACGGCCUUCGGGUUGUAAACCUCUUUUAGUAGGGAAGAAGCGAAAGUGACGGUACCUGCAGAAAAAGCACCGGCUAACUACGUGCCAGCCGCCGCAGUAA
RNAcentral lists this ribosomal RNA (484 nucleotides) under uncultured bacterium. Its description in RNAcentral is "partial 16S ribosomal RNA". It matches the Rfam family "Bacterial small subunit ribosomal RNA", at positions 28 to 523 of the family's 1533-position model. The record is from RNAcentral.